Molecule: long non-coding RNA, 377 nt
Organism: Cyprinodon tularosa
Lineage: Eukaryota; Metazoa; Chordata; Actinopteri; Cyprinodontiformes; Cyprinodontidae
Exons: 3
Source: RefSeq, a predicted model, not a curated record
UUUGGUUAGAGGUUUUUGUGAGGACCCAAAUGCAGAGGCAGGGAGGCUGAGAUCAGGAGCUAUUUGGAUGUUCAGAAUGAGUCGUCUGAGCUGAAAGUAACAGCCGACUGGGAUAUGGGGUUAUGGUGAAAGGUUUCAGCUGCUGGGUCGAUCAUUUCUCCUGUAGACACGGUUUAUUGGAAGCAUGUGAGCUGUGACUGGAUCGUUCAACAGGACAUGGCGGUGAGUCUGCCUGAGAGUCAGAUGCCCACAGGCUCACCCGACGAGUGGGUGGACUGGUUCCUGUACCGUCUGCAGCUUGAUCCAUGGAUGCUGGGCGGUUUGGUGGUCAUCGGCUUGUUUGCAAUGGGGACUCUUUCACUGGUGCUCUUUGCUCU